CCCGGUUACAUUUCGCAUGAUUCGAGCAUCAAUUUUGCUCAGCUCUACUGAUAACUGGUGUUUCUGUCUCCGAAUCACAACUUGUAUACAAGUGUCCAUUUGAUGCACAUUGUCCUUGGUUUUCCAAUUAUUGACUUCACCAGAUUCCAAGUCGCACAACCCAGAACUCAUACCACUGUAAGUAUCCUCAUAUCCAAAUUGAUUGGCAUUCAG
Molecule: unclassified non-coding RNA, 213 nt
Filed under: Hevea brasiliensis (rubber tree)
Lineage: Eukaryota; Viridiplantae; Streptophyta; Magnoliopsida; Malpighiales; Euphorbiaceae
Source: RNAcentral